AUGAAAACAGGACAAACAGUGAAAUAUAAAAAUGCUGAAAGUGGUGAACAGUGUGUUGCAAAGGUUACUGGACGCGCUGGAAAGGCAACAGGAAGUAAUAAAAACUGGUUUAACCUGCAAUACUUGGAACCUAUCACACUUAAAGGAGCAGAAAUUUCAGUUGACAUGAGUAAGUUAAAGGAAUUAGAAAAUGUUGCUACAGAAGUAGAACUUCCUAGUUCUGAUGACGAUAGUGUUAUGAUUUUUGAAGAUGUAUCAUUCAGGGAAGCUAAACUAAAAGAACUAAAUUCAUGGAAAAACAACAGUGUUUGUGAAGAAUGCACAGAUACCGGUCAAAAGUGUAUUUCUACGAGAUGGAUAUGUAGUUUGAAGAAGGAACAAUACAUAAGGCAAGAUUAGUUGCGAGAGGAUUUGAAGAAUUUAACAGAGAUGAUAUACCGAAAGAUUCACCCACUUGUGGAACAGAUUCCCUAAGAUUAGUUCUAGCUAUUCUAGCUCAAAGAAGUUGGAAAACACGAACAAUGGACAUUAAAACUGCUUUUUUACAAGGAGCUGAAAUAGAAAGAAAGAUUUAUGUCAAACCACCAAUGGAAGCUCAGUGCAAAGAUAUUAUCUGGAAACUUCGCAAAUGUGUCUAUGGUCUGUCAGAUGCCUCUCUUAGUUGGUAUAAUAGAGUAAAAGAAGUUCUUGAACAAUGUAAAGUCAGUGUAUCCAAGGUUGACCCAGCUGUAUUUUUCUGGAAAAACAAUAAAGGCAGCGUAGAAGGAGUACUUACUUGUCAUGUUGAUGACUUUUUAUGGGGCGGAUCAAAAGAAUUUGAAGAGAAAGUUAUAAAUAGCAUAAGAUCAACAUUUUGUGUUGGAAAAGAAGAAUUAGAGGAAAACGGGUCAUUCCCAUAUGUUGGAAUAGAAUUAUCAAAACAUGAAAAUGACUUGCAUUUAAGACAAAACACUUAUCAAAAUAGUCUCAAGUUUAUACCUAUUGAAAAAAGUCGUAUGGGAGUCAAAGAAGAACUUCUUAUCAAAGAAGAAAGAGAACUUUUACAAUCUAAAAUUGACAAAUACUUUGGAUUGCAAGACAAAGUCGACCAGAUGUGA
This 1097-nucleotide small RNA is filed under the name Mytilus galloprovincialis (Mediterranean mussel). Lineage: Eukaryota; Metazoa; Mollusca; Bivalvia; Mytilida; Mytilidae. The record is from RNAcentral.